This 313-nucleotide ribosomal RNA is filed under the name Drymophilacris bimaculata. RNAcentral's name for it is "mitochondrial SSU rRNA". The record is from RNAcentral. Lineage: Eukaryota; Metazoa; Arthropoda; Insecta; Orthoptera; Acrididae.
AAUAUUAGUUAAGAGCUUUAAACCCAAAGAAUUUGGCGGUAUCUUAUUCCAUUCAGAGGAACCUAUCCCAUAAUUGAUAAUACACGAUUAACUUUACUUAAUUUAUUUGUUUGUAUAUCUCCGUUAUCAGAGGAUCUUUUUAGAGUUAUAAUUUUCUAAAUUUAUAAAUAUGCAGUAUUUCAGGUCAAGGUGCAGCUUAAUAAUUAAGAGGAGAUGGGUUACAAUAAAUUUAAUUUAAACGGAUUUAGUAAUAAAAAAUUAUUAAUGAAGGUGGAUUUGAUAGUAAUUUAAUUUAUUUAAUUUAAUUGAUAUU